ACAUCGUUCCCCUCCCUUUCAUUCGUCUUACAUUGGUCCCUACGUGGUGGGUCCCUUGCGUUCUCGCGGGUUUGGUUUCUAGGUCUGUGACUGAGUGGCGGUCCUUUCGGUCUGAGAUGUGUAUUUCCCAGUUUCGUUUGCUUUGUGUGUAACGUCAUAAGUAAUUUUUUGUUCACUCUAAUGUAAAUUUGUGGUUCGUGGCUGCAUCUGUAUGUAGGGGUCGGUAGUGUGCCCUGGGGUGGGUGUGUGUUCUUGUGUUAGGGGGAGAGC
This is a non-coding RNA of Pelobates cultripes (western spadefoot toad), 270 nucleotides long. The record is from the annotation of a GenBank genome assembly. NCBI's taxonomy places the organism in Eukaryota, Metazoa, Chordata, Amphibia, Anura, Pelobatidae.